Small nuclear RNA from Cygnus olor (mute swan), 170 nucleotides. RefSeq annotates it as U1 spliceosomal RNA. The record is from RefSeq and is a predicted model, not a curated record. The transcript has a single exon. Lineage: Eukaryota; Metazoa; Chordata; Aves; Anseriformes; Anatidae.
UUGUUUACCUGGUAGGGUAGGUAGGUAGGUACCGUGUAAGGUGGGUUUUCUAGGGUCAAGCUAAUCCUUUAUGCUCCAGAUCAGCACAUCCAGAUCCCUGUAAUUUCCCAAAUGGGGGAACUUCAACUGCAUAAUUUUUGCUAGCAGGAAAUUGUCAGCACCCUUCCCUG